Long non-coding RNA from Aegilops tauschii subsp. strangulata, 1308 nucleotides. RefSeq lists it as uncharacterized. The record is from RefSeq and is a predicted model, not a curated record. Lineage: Eukaryota; Viridiplantae; Streptophyta; Magnoliopsida; Poales; Poaceae.
CUGAAUCUAUGAUUAUAUGACGUGCCUCGUUGUACUAUGGUUAUUUUGCAACACCCUGUUCUAGGCAAGAAACAGGUUUUACAUUUGCUUACCAGUUGUCAGUGGAACAACUGUAUAUAUGUUGCAGCCGGACUUAUAAUGUUCAUCUAUUUCUUGUAGUGCUCCUUGGAUUCUAUGAUUCACCCCUUGUACUCUUUCCUUUUGUGCUCAUUGCUGCAGAAUGGUAUGACAAAAAUUGCCGCACAACUGCUGUUGGGAACUUUGGCUGUGCUUUUCAGCUCACCAUGGCUGCUAAGAAAUUAAGAUGUGCUUUGCUUAUAAAAAGUAUUCAGACACAAUUUAUAGUUGCUGUUUGUAGAUGGAUUUUGUAGAUUCAGCUGUUGACAUAUUUUUAUCUGAAAGGUGUUUUAUUUUUGUCUGAAAGGAGUAUACACUAUACAGGUGUUGAUUACACUAAUAUUAGAUCAUGCCAUACCAUGAAAUUAAAUUGUGUAGAAUGAUCAUCGGCCAGAGAUUGCAGUCAAGAAUCAGUAACUCAAAUUUGUACUACUGUUGAUGUAAGGCAAUAGUUGGCAGGGAGUUCAGAAUAGUAGCUGCAACUUGGAACAUAGUCCAGACUGACCACUUUGUGAGAGUGAUCCAUGGAAUGGCCCUACUACUCGGGGGCUUGGUGACUUCUUCGGGUCCUGCUUCUGAGCUACAACAUCAAUAAUGGCCCGGAUUCUCAACUGGCCUUUCGACAGAUGUUAUAAGGCUCCGUCAAUACCUUCUUUCAACUAUGGGGAUAGUGAUCUCGACGACUGACAAAUGUUAUAAGGUUUCCUGUUUCCUCUCUAGUAUUCUGUUUUGUUGAUUCGGCACUGCCUUGACUUCAUUCCAGGCAAGAAAUUGGUUGACGCUAUAUUAGGUCACAUGGCUUAUUCCGGACUUGACAUCAGUUUUGCUUGAUGCUCUGCUGAUGACCAGCGAGAACAUGUUUUAGAUUCGCUCAACCGGUGGCCUGUGGAAAUGUUGUAUGUCAUGGCCAGGGAGGGAUCAGAACAGGGUGUGUGUUUCAUCAAUUUUUGGAAUGCUUCCUUGUGUGUGCGCUUCAACCACUUGUCCUAUUUGUUUUUUUAGUUUGUUCUCUGUGGAUUUCUGGGCUGUUACUGAAGCAUGGUUUAACACAGUUUGUAGCACACUUGGCCUUACAUCUGUUUUACUUGUAUACGUACAGAGGUACUACAUUGUAUGCUGUUGGGUGGACACACGGGUUUUUGUAUUUGAAAGAAACAUUUGGCAUUCUACUAGGUUGACAUGCUGGUUAAA